RNAcentral lists this ribosomal RNA (439 nucleotides) under Demospongiae sp. GW3053. RNAcentral describes it as "partial 28S large subunit ribosomal RNA". Lineage: Eukaryota; Metazoa; Porifera; Demospongiae. The record is from RNAcentral.
GYUCAGGGUGUCGAGGUUGUCGUGCUCUAUUAGAGUUCAGCUGGUGGUAAUCAGGCGACUGGUUGCUGUUGGUGCAUUCUCUGAUUGAGUUGGACCGUCAGUUGGGAAGACUCUGGGGCCUGUUUGACAGCAGAUGGGAGGUAAGCCCUGUUGUUCCGUAUGGAUGUCAGGGUGACGUACAGCCUUCUGUUGUGGUUCCAGUCGUUUUUCAGGUGCGUUGGAUGUCUGUUCGUCCAGAAAUGGAAGGUACAGUCUCUCGUUGUGGGGGGUCGGGCCUCCUUAGGGUUGCGGUGUGACACUGUGUUGUGUCCCGUUCUCUCUCCGUUAUGUCUUUGGCUGGCGGGGUGGAAAACGGCACAUCGGGUGUUUAUGCUGUCCCUCUGAGUGAGUGUCCUGGAAUCUGUGCCAAGGUGACUGGCGAAGAGUCGUUACCCUGUGC